GGGGCUGUAGCUCAGUUGGGAGAGCGGUUCGUUCGCAACGAACAGGUCGAGGGUUCGAAUCCCUUCAGCUCCACAA
RNAcentral lists this transfer RNA (76 nucleotides) under Ignavibacteriales bacterium. RNAcentral's name for it is "tRNA-Ala". It matches the Rfam family "tRNA". From Rfam's summary of the family: Transfer RNA (tRNA) molecules are approximately 80 nucleotides in length. Their secondary structure includes four short double-helical elements and three loops (D, anti-codon, and T loops). Further hydrogen bonds mediate the characteristic L-shaped molecular structure. tRNAs have two regions of fundamental functional importance: the anti-codon, which is responsible for specific mRNA codon recognition, and the 3' end, to which the tRNAs corresponding amino acid is attached (by aminoacyl-tRNA synthetases). tRNAs cope with the degeneracy of the genetic code in two manners: having more than one tRNA (with a specific anti-codon) for a particular amino acid; and 'wobble' base-pairing, i.e. permitting non-standard base-pairing at the 3rd anti-codon position. Lineage: Bacteria; Pseudomonadati; Ignavibacteriota; Ignavibacteria; Ignavibacteriales. The record is from RNAcentral.